RNAcentral lists this ribosomal RNA (410 nucleotides) under Achromobacter sp. E5. RNAcentral's name for it is "bacterial SSU rRNA". It matches the Rfam family "Bacterial small subunit ribosomal RNA", at positions 53 to 465 of the family's 1533-position model. The record is from RNAcentral. Lineage: Bacteria; Pseudomonadati; Pseudomonadota; Betaproteobacteria; Burkholderiales; Alcaligenaceae.
ACAUGCAAGUCGAACGGCAGCACGGACUUCGGUCUGGUGGCGAGUGGCGAACGGGUGAGUAAUGUAUCGGAACGUGCCUAGUAGCGGGGGAUAACUACGCGAAAGCGUAGCUAAUACCGCAUACGCCCUACGGGGGAAAGCAGGGGAUCGCAAGACCUUGCACUAUUAGAGCGGCCGAUAUCGGAUUAGCUAGUUGGUGGGGUAACGGCUCACCAAGGCGACGAUCCGUAGCUGGUUUGAGAGGACGACCAGCCACACUGGGACUGAGACACGGCCCAGACUCCUACGGGAGGCAGCAGUGGGGAAUUUUGGACAAUGGGGGAAACCCUGAUCCAGCCAUCCCGCGUGUGCGAUGAAGGCCUUCGGGUUGUAAAGCACUUUUGGCAGGAAAGAAACGUCAUGGGCUAAUA